AAAACAAGGAAACAUCAACUGACAAACUGCAAAAAUAACUUCUCGCGCUGUUGAUUUCGCUGCUUUCAGAAAUGGUUUUGUGUCUUCGAAAAAGUCCGUUAGCAUCACAUCCGUUUUAAGAAGAGAAGAUCUUGCUGGUGGCCUGUUGCACCCCCUGUCCAAGAAAAUCUCCACGGCUAUGAACUCAAC
Molecule: non-coding RNA, 189 nt
Organism: Pimephales promelas (fathead minnow)
Lineage: Eukaryota; Metazoa; Chordata; Actinopteri; Cypriniformes; Leuciscidae
Source: RefSeq, a predicted model, not a curated record